This 28-nucleotide non-coding RNA is filed under the name Mus musculus (house mouse). The record is from RNAcentral. Lineage: Eukaryota; Metazoa; Chordata; Mammalia; Rodentia; Muridae.
UGAAGAUCCGGUUCCUCUGGCUUACAUU